UACGAAGGGGGCUAGCGUUGCUCGGAAUCACUGGGCGUAAAGGGUGCGUAGGCGGGCCUUUAAGUCUGGGGUGAAAUCCUGGAGCUCAACUCCAGAACUGCCUUUGAUACUGAAGAUCUUGAGUUCGGGAGAGGUGAGUGGAACUGCGAGUGUAGAGGUGAAAUUCGUAGAUAUUCGCAAGAACACCAGUGGCGAAGGUGGCUCACUGGCCCGAUACUGACGCUGAGGCACGAAAGCGUGGGGAGCAAACAGG
RNAcentral lists this ribosomal RNA (253 nucleotides) under uncultured bacterium. Its description in RNAcentral is "partial 16S ribosomal RNA". It matches the Rfam family "Bacterial small subunit ribosomal RNA", at positions 524 to 776 of the family's 1533-position model. The record is from RNAcentral.